CCUACGGGAGGCAGCAGUGAGGAAUAUUGGACAAUGGAGGCAACUCUGAUCCAGCCAUGCCGCGUGUAGGAAGACUGCCCUAUGGGUUGUAAACUACUUUUAUAGAGGAAGAAACCCCGAUAUGUAUAUCGGUCUGACGGUACUCUACGAAUAAGGAUCGGCUAACUCCGUGCCAGCAGCCGCGGUAAUACGGAGGAUCCAAGCGUUAUCCGGAAUCAUUGGGUUUAAAGGGUCCGUAGGCGGGUUUGUAAGUCAGUGGUGAAAGUUUUCAGCUCAACUGGAAAAUUGCCAUUGAUACUGCAAGUCUUGAAUUAUUAUGAAGUGGUUAGAAUAAGUAGUGUAGCGGUGAAAUGCAUAGAUAUUACUUAGAAUACCGAUUGCGAAGGCAGAUCACUAAUAAUGUAUUGACGCUAAGGGACGAAAGCGUGGGUAGCGAACAGGAUUAGAUACCCUAGUAGUC
RNAcentral lists this ribosomal RNA (460 nucleotides) under uncultured Flavobacteriaceae bacterium. RNAcentral describes it as "bacterial SSU rRNA". It matches the Rfam family "Bacterial small subunit ribosomal RNA", at positions 338 to 795 of the family's 1533-position model. The record is from RNAcentral. Lineage: Bacteria; Pseudomonadati; Bacteroidota; Flavobacteriia; Flavobacteriales; Flavobacteriaceae.